GAUCAUGACUCAGGACGAACGCUGGCGGCGUGCUUAACACAUGCAAGUCGAACGAGAAUCUACUGAAAGAGUUUUCGGACAAUGGAAGUAGAGGAAAGUGGCGGACGGGUGAGUAACGCGUGAGGAACCUGCCUUGAAGAGGGGGACAACAGUUGGAAACGACUGCUAAUACCGCAUGACGCAUAGGGGUCGCAUGAUCUUUAUGCCAAAGAUUUAUCGCUUCAAGAUGGCCUCGCGUCCG
Molecule: ribosomal RNA, 241 nt
Filed under: uncultured bacterium
Lineage: Bacteria
Description: partial 16S ribosomal RNA
Rfam family: Bacterial small subunit ribosomal RNA
Source: RNAcentral